Molecule: ribosomal RNA, 917 nt
Filed under: uncultured bacterium
Lineage: Bacteria
Description: bacterial SSU rRNA
Rfam family: Bacterial small subunit ribosomal RNA
Source: RNAcentral
AGAGUUUGAUCCUGGCUCAGAGCGAACGCUGGCGGCGUGCUUAACACAUGCAAGUCGAGUGCGCGUUCCGGUGUAGCAAUACACCGGAAUGGCGCACGGCGCACGGGUGCGUAACACGUGGGUAACCUGCCCUCGGAUGGGGAAUAACCCCGCGAAAGCGGGGCUAAUACCGCAUAACGUUCCGGGGACUUCGGUCUCCGGAACCAAAGCUCGCAAGGGCGUCGGAGGAGGGGCCCGCGGCCGAUUAGCUAGUUGGCAGGGUAACGGCCUACCAAGGCGAUGAUCGGUAGCCGGUCUGAGAGGAUGGCCGGCCACACUGGAACUGAGACACGGUCCAGACUCCUACGGGAGGCAGCAGUGGGGAAUCUUGCGCAAUGGGCGAAAGCCUGACGCAGCGACGCCGCGUGGGGGAUGUAGCCCUUCGGGGUGUAAACCCCUUUCGGCCCGGACGAAUCCCGCGUAAGCGGGCUGACGGUACGGGUAGAAGAAGCCCCGGCUAACUACGUGCCAGCAGCCGCGGUAAGACGUAGGGGGCCAGCGUUGCUCGGAAUGACUGGGCGUAAAGGGUCCGUAGGCGGUGCGGCAAGUCGGAAGUGAAAUCUCCGGGCUUAACUCGGAGGCUGCUUCCGAAACUGCCGUGCUGGAGUGCGGGAGAGGCGAGUGGAAUUGCAGGUGUAGCGGUGAAAUGCGUAGAUAUCUGCAGGAACACCAGAGGCGAAGGCGGCUCGCUGGACCGCAACUGACGCUGAGGGACGAAAGCUAGGGGAGCAAACAGGAUUAGAUACCCUGGUAGUCCUAGCCCUAAACCAUCAGGACUUGGCGUGGGUCCCGUCCGGGAUCCGUGCCGCAGCUAACGCGAUAAGUCCUGCGCCUGGGGAGUACGGUCGCAAGGNUGAAAACUCAAAUGAAUUGACGGG